UAGGGAAUCUUCCGCAAUGGACGAAAGUCUGACGGAGCAACGCCGCGUGAGUGAAGAAGGAUUUCGGUUCGUAAAACUCUGUUGUUAGGGAAGAAAAAAUGUAUAGUAACUAUAUACAAAAGAGACGGUACCUAACCAGAAAGCCACGGCUAACUACGUGCCAGCAGCCGCGGUAAUACGUAGGUGGCAAGCGUUGUCCGGAAUUAUUGGGCGUAAAGCGCGCGCAGGUGGUUUAGAAAGUCUGAUGUGAAAGCCCACGGCUCAACCGUGGAGGGUCAUUGGAAACUAAUAAACUUGAGUGCAGGAGAGAAAAGUGGAAUUCCUAGUGUAGCGGUGAAAUGCGUAGAGAUUAGGAGGAACACCGGUGGCGAAAGCGGCUUUUUGGCCUGCAACUGACACUGAGGCGCGAUAGCGUGGGGAGCAAACAGG
RNAcentral lists this ribosomal RNA (429 nucleotides) under Verrucomicrobiota bacterium. RNAcentral describes it as "Verrucomicrobia bacterium partial 16S ribosomal RNA". It matches the Rfam family "Bacterial small subunit ribosomal RNA", at positions 355 to 776 of the family's 1533-position model. The record is from RNAcentral. Lineage: Bacteria; Pseudomonadati; Verrucomicrobiota.